UACAGAGGUCUCAAGCGUUGUUCGGAUUCAUUGGGCGUAAAGGGUGCGUAGGCGGCGCGGUAAGUCGGGUGUGAAAUCUCGGGGCUUAACUCCGAAACUGCAUUCGAUACUGCCGUGCUUGAGGACUGGAGAGGAGACUGGAAUUCAUGGUGUAGCAGUGAAAUGCGUAGAUAUCUGGAGGAACACCCGUGGCGAAGGCGGCGACCUGGACAGUGACUGACACUCAACUGCGAAAGCGUGGGGAGCAAACGGG
RNAcentral lists this ribosomal RNA (253 nucleotides) under uncultured bacterium. RNAcentral describes it as "partial 16S ribosomal RNA". It matches the Rfam family "Bacterial small subunit ribosomal RNA", at positions 524 to 776 of the family's 1533-position model. The record is from RNAcentral.